This 84-nucleotide transfer RNA is filed under the name Didymella pomorum. RNAcentral's name for it is "Peyronellaea pomorum tRNA". It matches the Rfam family "tRNA". Rfam says of the family: Transfer RNA (tRNA) molecules are approximately 80 nucleotides in length. Their secondary structure includes four short double-helical elements and three loops (D, anti-codon, and T loops). Lineage: Eukaryota; Fungi; Ascomycota; Dothideomycetes; Pleosporales; Didymellaceae. The record is from Rfam by way of RNAcentral.
GCCCGGCUGGCACAAUCGGUAGCGCGUGAGACUCUUAAUCUCAAGUUAAUCUCAAGGUUGUGGGUUCGAGCCCCACGUCGGGCU